UACAGAGGGUGCGAGCGUUAAUCGGAAUUACUGGGCGUAAAGCGCGCGUAGGCGGCGUGUUAAGUUGGAUGUGAAAGCCCCGGGCUUAACCUGGGAUGGUCAUUCAAAACUGGCAUGCUAGAGUGUGGUAGAGGACAAUGGAAUUCCUAGUGUAGCGGUGAAAUGCGUAGAUAUUAGGAGGAACAUCAGUGGCGAAGGCGAUUGUCUGGGCCAACACUGACGCUGAGGUGCGAAAGCGUGGGUAGCGAAAGGG
RNAcentral lists this ribosomal RNA (253 nucleotides) under uncultured bacterium. Its description in RNAcentral is "partial 16S ribosomal RNA". It matches the Rfam family "Bacterial small subunit ribosomal RNA", at positions 524 to 776 of the family's 1533-position model. The record is from RNAcentral.